UGAAUACGAGACGCUAAGGCGUCGAAGUAGUGUAUAUCAGACUUCCAAGAAAAGCUUGCACUGUCAUAGAUAAAAAAUGCCUGUACCAUAACCGACACAGGUGGGUAGGUAGAGUAUACUAAGGGGCGCGAGAUAACUCUCUCUAAGGAACUCGGCAAAAUAACUCCGUAACUUCGGGAGAAGGAGUGCCUUAUUUAUAAGGUUGCAAUAACAAGAUCCAAGCAACUGUUUAUCAAAAACACAGGUCUCCGCUAAGUCGUAAGACGAUGUAUGGGGGCUGACGCCUGCCCAGUGCCAGAAGGUUAAAGAAGUUGGUUAGCAAUUGCGAAGCUGAUAACUGAAGCCCUGGUGAACGGGGGCCGUAACAAUAACGGUCCUAAGGUAGCGAAAUUCCUUUCGGGUAAGUUCCGACCCGCACGAAAGGCGUAAUGAUUUGGAUACUGUCUCGGAGAGGGGCUCGGUGAAAUAGACUUGUCUGUGAAGAUGCGGACUACCUGCACCAGGACAGAAAGACCCUAUGAAGCUUUACUGUAACUUGAAAUUGAAAUUGGACUUUAUUCGCGCAGCAUAGGUGGGAGGCGUUGAUUAUAAUCUUGCGGGAUUAUUGGAGCCAUCAGUGAGAUACCACUCUUGUAAUGUUAGAUUUCUAACUUUGAAUCAUUAUCUGGUCAAAGAACAGUUUCAGGCGGGCAGUUUGACUGGGGCGGUCGCCUCCUAAAUGGUAACGGAGGCGUACAAAGGUUUCCUCUGAACGGUUAGAAAUCGUAUCUAGAGUGUAAAGGCAUAAGGAAGCUUGACUGUGAGACCUACAAGUCGAGCAGGGACGAAAGUCGGUCUUAGUGAUCUGACGGUACUGAGUGGAAAGGCCGUCACUCAACGGAUAAAAGUUACUCUAAGGAUAACAGGCUGAUCUCCCCCAAGAGUUCACAUCGACGGGGAGGUUUGGCACCUCGAUGUCGGCUCAUCGCAUCCUGGGGCGGUAGUACGUCCCAAGGGUUGGGCUGUUCGCCCAUGAAAGCGGUACGCGAGCUGGGUUCAGAACGUCGUGAGACAGUUCGGUCCAUAUCCGGUGUAGGCGUUAGAAUAUUGAGAGGAGCCUUCUUUAGUACGAGAGGACCGAGAAGGACAUACCUCUGGUGUACCAGUUAUCGUGCCAACGGUAAACGCUGGGUAGCUAUGUAUGGAGUGGAUAACCGCUGAAAGCAUCUAAGUGGGAAGCCCACCUCAAGAUAAGUAUUCUCC
Molecule: ribosomal RNA, 1242 nt
Filed under: metagenome
Description: bacterial LSU rRNA
Rfam family: Bacterial large subunit ribosomal RNA
Source: RNAcentral